RNAcentral lists this ribosomal RNA (253 nucleotides) under uncultured bacterium. RNAcentral's name for it is "partial 16S ribosomal RNA". It matches the Rfam family "Bacterial small subunit ribosomal RNA", at positions 524 to 776 of the family's 1533-position model. The record is from RNAcentral.
UACAGAGGUCCCAAGCGUUGUUCGGAUUCAUUGGGCGUAAAGGGUGCGUAGGUGGCCUGGUAAGUUGAAGGUGAAAUCUCGGAGCUCAACUCCGAAACUGCCUUCAAUACUGCCGAGCUCGAGGACUGUAGAGGAGAAUGGAAUUCACGGUGUAGCAGUGAAAUGCGUAGAUAUCGUGAGGAAGACCAGUGGCGAAGGCGAUUCUCUGGGCAGUUCCUGACACUGAGGCACGAAGGCUAGGGGAGCAAACGGG